This 468-nucleotide ribosomal RNA is filed under the name uncultured bacterium. RNAcentral describes it as "partial 16S ribosomal RNA". It matches the Rfam family "Bacterial small subunit ribosomal RNA", at positions 28 to 507 of the family's 1533-position model. The record is from RNAcentral.
GACGAACGCUGGCGGCGUGCUUAACACAUGCAAGUCGAACGGAAAGGCCCUGCUUUUGUGUGGUGCUCGAGUGGCGAACGGGUGAGUAACACGUGUGUAACCUGCCCUUGACUUUGGGAUAACUUCAGGAAACUGGGUCUAAUACCCGAUAAGAGCUCCUGCUGCAUGGUGGGGUUUGGUAAGUUUCGGCGGUUGGGGAUGGACUCGCUGGUUUUCAGAUUGUUGGUGGGGUAGUGGCUUACCAAGGCUUUGACGGGUAGCCGGCCUGAGAAGGUGACCCGCCACAAUGGGACUGAGAGACGGCACAGACUCCUACGGGAGGAAGCAGUGGGGAAUAUUGCACAAUGGGCGGAAGGCUGAUGAAGAAAAGCAGCGUGCGGGAUGACGGCCUUCGGGUUGUAAACAGAUUUAGAAUGUGACGAAGAGUGAGUGACGGUAAUGGGUAAAGAAGCACCGGCUAACUACGUG